GAAAAUCCGUCGAUUUUUAAAAUCAUGAGGGUUCAGGUCCCUCUWUCCCCAA
RNAcentral lists this transfer RNA (52 nucleotides) under Cecarria obtusifolia. Its description in RNAcentral is "partial tRNA-Leu". Lineage: Eukaryota; Viridiplantae; Streptophyta; Magnoliopsida; Santalales; Loranthaceae. The record is from RNAcentral.